UUGUCUCAAAGAUUAAGCCAUGCAUGUCUCAGUACAAGCCGAAUUAAGGUGAAACCGCGAAAGGCUCAUUAAAUCAGUUAUGGUUCCUUAGAUCGUACUCACGUUUACUCGGAUAACUGUGGUAAUUCUAGAGCUAAUACGUGCAAACAGAGCUCCGACCGGAGACGGAAGGAGCGCUUUUAUUAGAUCAAAACCAAUCGGCGGCGGUCGCCCUUCGUGGCGCGUCCGUCGUCGUUCGUUCUGGCGAAUCUGAAUAACUUUAAGCAGAUCGCACGGCCCAGCGCCGGCGACGCAUCUUUCAAAUGUCUGCCUUAUCAACUGUCGAUGGUAGGUUCCGUGCCUACCAUGGUCGUAACGGGUAACGGGGAAUCAGGGUUCGAUUCCGGAGAGGGAGCCUGAGAAACGGCUACCACAUCCAAGGAAGGCAGCAGGCGCGCAAAUUACCCACUCCCGGCACGGGGAGGUAGUGACGAAAAAUAACGAUACGGGACUCAUCCGAGGCCCCGUAAUCGGAAUGAGCACACUCUAAACCCUUUAACGAGGAUCAAUUGGAGGGCAAGUCUGGUGCCAGCAGCCGCGGUAAUUCCAGCUCCAAUAGCGUAUAUUAAAGUUGUUGCGGUUAAAAAGCUCGUAGUCGAAUCUGUGUCCCGCGCCGCCGGUUCGUCGCUCGCGGCGUUUAACUGGCGUGUCUUUUCGCGGGACGUCCUGCCGGUGGGCGUCUGCUCCGGUCCGUCCGUCGUUCGAUUUUUUCGUCGGCGGUAGCGGGCCGGGUGGCGGCCCAACUUGCGAAUCCCGCCGCGGUGCUCUUCGCUGAGUGUCGAGGCGGGCCGGCACGUUUACUUUGAACAAAUUAGAGUGCUUAAAGCAGGCUAAAACUUCGCCUGAAUACCUUGUGCAUGGAAUAAUGGAAUAGGACCUCGGUUCUAUUUUGUUGGUUUUCGGAACCCCGAGGUAAUGAUUAAUAGGAACGGAUGGGGGCAUUCGUAUUGCGACGUUAGAGGUGAAAUUCUUGGAUCGUCGCAAGACGGACGGAAGCGAAAGCAUUUGCCAAAAACGCUUUCAUUGAUCAAGAACGAAAGUUAGAGGUUCGAAGGCGAUCAGAUACCGCCCUAGUUCUAACCAUAAACGAUGCCAGCUAGCGAUCCGCCGACGUUCCUCCGAUGACUCGGCGGGCAGCUUCCGGGAAACCAAAGCUUUUGGGUUCCGGGGGAAGUAUGGUUGCAAAGCUGAAACUUAAAGGAAUUGACGGAAGGGCACCACCAGGAGUGGAGCCUGCGGCUUAAUUUGACUCAACACGGGAAACCUCACCAGGCCCGGACACCGGAAGGAUUGACAGAUUGAGAGCUCUUUCUUGAUUCGGUGGGUGGUGGUGCAUGGCCGUUCUUAGUUGGUGGAGCGAUUUGUCUGGUUAAUUCCGAUAACGAACGAGACUCUAGCCUGCUAACUAGGCGUCGUUUCCGACAUCUCGAAGGCCCGCCGGCCCGUCGCGUUCGCGCGUCGCGGUCCGCGCGCGGUUUUUACUGUCGGCGUACAAACAAUUCUUCUUAGAGGGACAGGCGGCUUCUAGCCGCACGAGAUUGAGCAAUAACAGGUCUGUGAUGCCCUUAGAUGUUCUGGGCCGCACGCGCGCUACACUGAAGGAAUCAGCGUGUCCUCCCUGGCCGAGCGGCCCGGGUAACCCGCUGAACCUCCUUCGUGCUAGGGAUUGGGGCUUGCAAUUGUUCCCCAUGAACGAGGAAUUCCCAGUAAGCGCGAGUCAUAAGCUCGCGUUGAUUACGUCCCUGCCCUUUGUACACACCGCCCGUCGCUACUACCGAUUGAAUGAUUUAGUGAGGUCUUCGGACCGGUACGCGGUGGCGUUUCGACGUCGCCGAUGCUGCUGGGAAGAUGACCAAACUUGAUUAUUUAGAGGAAGUAAAAGUCGUAACAAGGUUUCG
Molecule: ribosomal RNA, 1937 nt
Filed under: Anchastus sp. UPOL RK0061
Lineage: Eukaryota; Metazoa; Arthropoda; Insecta; Coleoptera; Elateridae
Description: SSU rRNA
Rfam family: Eukaryotic small subunit ribosomal RNA
Source: RNAcentral